This is a long non-coding RNA of Uranotaenia lowii, 907 nucleotides long. RefSeq lists it as uncharacterized. The transcript has 4 exons. NCBI's taxonomy places the organism in Eukaryota, Metazoa, Arthropoda, Insecta, Diptera, Culicidae. The record is from RefSeq and is a predicted model, not a curated record.
AGGCCCACAAAAAUGAUGCUGCACAAAAUUGCCUCCGCCGGGUCAUCCGAUUGUCCUGCUUGUUGGCAAAUUCGUGGAGGCUUUCCCGGUGGUUAUAAUGAUGAUGGUUCUGACAAACCCUGGUGGAUAAACAUCUUCAUCUUCGUCGAUGGACAAACCAAUUGAGUCAACAUGGUCGAAAAAUAUCCUCAAGGGAGUACAUCCAGCUGGCUCACGGUAGCGAAAGUGACGGAUGAUGAAAGGAACGACCUGGAGGAAACCAUAACCGAGAAACAAACUAGGUUGAUUCGAUUCUUCAGUUAAGUCACAAAACUGUUGGACAUCGAUCGUUUAGCCCGGUUGACGAUUGAGGACAAACAGCAUGAACAUAGGAAAUAGUUAUUGACAAAUCAGUGGGUCGCCUCCGGCAAGUAUGUCCAGGGAUUCGCGACUGAUUCGAUGAAUUAACGGAUUACUUAUAGAAAGUCUUAUAUCGAGCUAUUUGGCUGCCUACAUCGGCAUACUACAAACAUUGAAUGCAAAUCUCCGCACGAUGGUCAAAAAGAUGAUCAUCUGGUAGCCGUUGCACAUCAGCCAGGAAUCGAUGGCCAAGAGGAAUCGAGCAUCGGGAAAAAAUGUUUGCCCAGACGUCAUUUGUCGUAGUUGGCUCCGCCGACGAUUGUCUCAGGGUGUUUAAAUCCAAAAUGAAAAUCGAAGGCGUGACCCAUUCGAUUGUGGACAGUAUAAUUAUGGAUGAAUUUCCUGAGUUCGCUACCACGUCCUAAACAAAGCAUCAAAAAUCCCAACAUGCAAAAGUCAAAUUUGCUACUGUCGAACAACAGCAGUAAUCUGGCUACGUAUGCUGCAGGUGCAGCCAGUAGUCGCAACCUUAAACAGCUCACAAUCCAAAGAAAAUUGUCAAGCCUAU